RNAcentral lists this ribosomal RNA (467 nucleotides) under uncultured bacterium. Its description in RNAcentral is "bacterial SSU rRNA". It matches the Rfam family "Bacterial small subunit ribosomal RNA", at positions 172 to 654 of the family's 1533-position model. The record is from RNAcentral.
CAUAACAUCGCGAGCUGCAAUGCUUGCGAUCAAAGGAGCAAUUCGCUGGAGGAGGGGGUCGCGACUGAGAAAACCCUGGGGAGGGUAACGGCCUACCAAGGCGAUGAUCAGUAGCCGGCCUGAGAGGGCGCACGGCCACACUGGAACUGAAACACGGUCCAGACUCCUACGGGAGGCAGCAGUGGGGAAUUUUGCGCAAUGGGGGAAACCCUGACGCAGCAACGCCGCGUGGAGGAUGAAGUCCCUUGGGACGUAAACUCCUUUCGAACGGGACGAAAAAAAUGACGGUACCGUAAGAAGAAGCCCCGGCUAACUCCGUGCCAGCAGCCGCGGUAAUACGGGGGGGGCGAGCGUUGUUCGGAAUUAUUGGGCGUAAAGGGCGCGUAGGCGGUGUCGCAAGUCCAUGGUGAAAUCUCCAGGCUCAACUUGGAGUCUGCCACGGAAACUGCGAUGCUGGAAUGUGGAAA